CUCAAUACCUGCGGCAGCCUAAACAUGCAAGUCGAGCGGUAGAGAGAAGCUUGCUUCUCUUGAGAGCGGCGGACGGGUGAGUAAUGCCUAGGAAUCUGCCUGGUAGUGGGGGACAACGUUCGGAAACGGACGCUAAUACCGCAUACGUCCUACGGGAGAAAGCAGGGGACCUUCGGGCCUUGCGCUAUCAGAUGAGCCUAGGUCGGAUUAGCUAGUUGGUGAGGUAAUGGCUCACCAAGGCGACGAUCCGAAAUUGGUCUGAGAGGAUGAUCAGUCACACUGGAACUGAGACACGGUCCAGACUCCUACGGGAGGCAGCAGUGGGGAAUAUUGGACAAUGGGCGAAAGCCUGAUCCAGCCAUGCCGCGUGUGUGAAGAAGGUCUUCGGAUUGUAAAGCACUUUAAGUUGGGAGGAAGGGCAGUUACCUAAUACCUGAUUGUUUUGACGUUACCGACAGAAUAAACACCGGCUAACUCUGUGCCAACAGCCGCGGUAAU
This 498-nucleotide ribosomal RNA is filed under the name uncultured bacterium. RNAcentral describes it as "bacterial SSU rRNA". It matches the Rfam family "Bacterial small subunit ribosomal RNA", at positions 32 to 524 of the family's 1533-position model. The record is from RNAcentral.